This 460-nucleotide ribosomal RNA is filed under the name uncultured bacterium. RNAcentral describes it as "partial 16S ribosomal RNA". It matches the Rfam family "Bacterial small subunit ribosomal RNA", at positions 338 to 795 of the family's 1533-position model. The record is from RNAcentral.
CCUACGGGAGGCUGCAGUGAGGAAUAUUGGUCAAUGGACGAGAGUCUGAACCAGCCAAGUAGCGUGAAGGAUGACUGCCCUAUGGGUUGUAAACUUCUUUUAUAUGGGAAUAAAAUGUUCCACGUGUGGGAUUUUGUAUGUACCAUAUGAAUAAGGAUCGGCUAACUCCGUGCCAGCAGCCGCGGUAAUACGGAGGAUCCGAGCGUUAUCCGGAUUGAUUGGGGUUAAAGGGAGCGUAGGUGGAUGGUUAAGUCAGUUGUGAAAGUUUGCGGUUCAACCGUAAAAUUGCAGUUGAAACUGGCAGUCUUGAGUACAGUAGAGGUGGGCGGAAUUCGUGGUGUAGCGGUGAAAUGCUUAGAUAUCACGAAGAACUCCGAUUGCGAAGGCAGCUCACUGGACUGCAACUGACACUGAGGCUCGAAAGUGUGGGUAUCAAACAGGAUUAGAUACCCGUGUAGUC